RNAcentral lists this unclassified non-coding RNA (306 nucleotides) under plant metagenome. RNAcentral's name for it is "partial contains 5.8S ribosomal RNA, internal transcribed spacer 2, and large subunit ribosomal RNA". The stretch from base 1 to 105 matches the Rfam family "5.8S ribosomal RNA", at positions 50 to 154 of the family's 154-position model. The record is from RNAcentral.
GAAAUGCGAUAAGUAGUGUGAAUUGCAGAAUUCAGUGAAUCAUCGAAUCUUUGAACGCACAUUGCGCCCCUUGGUAUUCCUUAGGGCAUGCCUGUUCGAGCGUCAUCUAAACCUUCAAGCCCUGCUUGGUGUUGGGUGCCUGUCCCGCCUCCGCGCGCGGACUCACCUCAAAUCCAUUGGCGGCCCCCGCGUCGGCCACGAGCGCAGCAGAAACGCGAACUCGUGAGCCCGUCCGGGCGGCUCCCAGAAGCUACACCCACCCAGUUUGACCUCGGAUCAGGUAGGGAUACCCGCUGAACUUAAGCA